AAGAAUCUUGCAUUGAAUGCUCACUUAGAAUGUUAACUGUUUUAAACUGUAGAGCCUGUCUGGGUUUGGAUGUCAGGAACUCUGCCGAUGUUUUUGGUGCUGAGAGUCCAGUGUAUCUGCCCUCUCCCUGCUGUAGCAGCCCUUCAGACGGACACUGGUUCUGCAGUUGUCAUAAAGCACCUACUGGGUGCUCUGCAGUAUGUGAGAUGGCCACAAGCCUCUAAACCCAUGGGUGAAUGUCAUCCUAGGCACCUCAGUCCUCUAAGCGUCUCAUCUCUUGGACCACUCCCCAAAACCUCUAAGGUAAUCCUCACGGCUGUCCGUUCCAGAAAAGUAUUCGCCCCACUUGACAGCUGUGUUUACCAGCUAACAAGGCUGAAACUGGAUCCCCACCUCACUGAGGCAAGGCUGACUGACCCACCCACUUACCUACCUACCUGCCUGGGGCUGCAUAAAAUUAUCCCUAUCAGCUAGCUGCAGCUCCAAGUACUGACUUUCAACCCACCAGCUGAAUAACCCUGGGGGGAAUUUGGGCAAUUUAGUCCCCUCCCCUGCAACUCCCUAUCUAGCUAGGGGGCUAUUUCACAAAUUCGCUGAGCCUUUGGGCAAGGGGCUUAAUUCUUAAUUAAUUCUUAAUUCUUCUGGGCCUCAGUUUCCCCUAAGUCCUAAGUGAUCAGGGACCUAAAGCCAGUACUGCAUGAACAGUACUGGUACUGCUGAUGGGAGCUGCUGUUUUCUUCUAAUUACCGUUUUCUUCUCUCAUGUUCUCUCUGCUGCCUCCUUUCCAGGUAAGCUGUCUCCUUCAUAGUGCCCACUUUCCUAGUGAACGCGGACUGAUUAAUCAGGUACACUAGGGCUACCAGUCCACAAAUAUAAUAGUAACUAAUUACAAUGAUCUUUUACCAGCUUGUUGGGGGGCAGGGUCAGGGUCAGCUCCCCUCAUCCCUGUUGCAUACUCCCCUAAUCCCUCUUCCUCCUUGUCCAGGAUGCCCCCAGCUCUCACCCUUUCUCCUUUCCCCAUCACUCUCUCCAGCUCUGCUGGGCACCCUGCUAUAUCGCCUUCUAAACGUGUCUCCCCCACUGCACUGCUAAGGCUGCUAACUGGGUCUCGUGCAUCGGAAACCCCUAGGCCAGACCCAGAGGAGGAUCUGCAAAAGCCACUUAUGACGAUCUUUACAUCAGUCAAAGUCUUUGAAUCAGUAACAGUAGCUACCAUUUCAUGAAGGCCCCCGAGGACCUGGGCUUUUACACCACCACAGCCCCACUAAAAGCAAUAGCGUCCAACCUUUACACAAAAGAAAUCCAUGCUGGGAGAGGAUAGGAACCUGCCCAAGGCCACACACUGGGAAAGGGAGCAGCUGGAAUGCAAACCCUCUUCUUUUAUGCCCUUUACACCAAAGAGGGCUUCACACAGCAACUAUCUUACCUUUCCUCAAACGUGCCCAAACGUGUCUCAUCCAGAAGUCAUUGCACUUGCCUGUCUGAUAGUCUCUCCUAGCAUCUCCACCUGGUUCUCCUUCCCCAUCCAGCUCUCAGCUCAGAUGUCAUCAUCUCAGAGCUAUCUUCCUGCCCAGUUCUAAACUAGUAUUGCCCAUCCAUGCUUCUCCACUCCCUGAUAGAUAUCCUAUUGUUUCAUUUUUCUUCAUAGCACUGAUUGCCACCUUAAAGUAUAUGACUAAUUUCUCUCUCCACCUUCUCUAGAACAGCACUGCCCAGUGGAACUUUCUUUGGUGAAGGAAAUGUUCUAGAACUGCACUGUCCAACAUAGUAGCCAUUAGCUGCAGGUGACCAGUGAACAUUUGAAAGAUGGCCAGUACGACUAAGGAACUGACUGAUUAUGUCUCAAGCUUUCCACCCAAACCACACAUAUAGUAAUACUUUCUUGAAGAACACGGAGUGAGAAGGCGGAAGAUUUGAGUGCCAUCAAAUAUUUCUCCACGUUCCUUAUCUUCAUAGCAUCUUUUCAAAUUAGUGCCUUCUUGAAGAUGAAUACCUGUCUUCAGCAUUUAUCCAUUUUCCCUUCUACUUCAACCAAUGCCUAUGCUGCCAUUUUUACUGUUGUGGAGAGCUGAAGACACAUGCAAAAUGAGCUGCAUCAGAGAGGCCUAGCUUUCGUUCAGUUCCAGUUCUCUGCACUGAGGAGAGGCACAGCUACAUUAGUACUGGGAGAAAACGACCACUGCAGGAGAUGGUUCUCUUAAUAGUAAAGCUGGCCAUUCCAAACACCUAUGAUUCCCAUGUUUUUAUGCACUGCCUCGGGAGGUCGUCCACGCAGAUACAUUCAGCUGGCUUCACAAACCUCUACCUGGGUGUUUCUAAGUCCCCUCUGAUUCAUACUUCAUUAACAGAACCAGUCAAGACAUGGGAGAGUUCCAAAAACAUUUGAAUCUAGGUGAAAGCUAUUAGGUAGUUCUUUGUACUAGUCAACUAACUGUUUGCCUAAAAUUAUUUCAACAUAAAAAUAAAAACCAAAGAAAACCUCUGUUUCCACCCUUCAGAAGUCUCUGCCUUUGUCAGACUUACCACGUCACUGACUAAUGCCAAAAAUUCCAGAGUCAUAAUAUCGCUGUUCUUGUAUUUUUAAAAUGAAAUACUGAUACGUUAAAAAAAAAAUGUAUAUAGUAAAUACAUGUUACAAAGAAUUGUCACAGGAAAUCCCUUGAAGCUUUCGCCUAUGAGCAGUUCUUGGCAGUUUCCUUUCCUUUGCUCUCCUGGGUCAAUUACUCAACUACCCCCACUGAAUCCACCUACGAAUGGGGAGGAGCCAGCUUCUCCCCAACCCUGCUGCUACGCUCUCAGGCCAGGUAUUGCCACCUCUUCCCUAGCUGCUACCACAGCCUGCUGCCUGCUUCCGUCUGUGCCCUUCCAUCUUCACAGAGUGAGCUGUGAAAAGCACACCACACACGUACUCAACGAAAAUCAAACCCCCUUCACAGUGGAAGCCCUCUGUGCUCUGCCAAACUUAACUUGCAUGUCAGUACACCUCGGUUACCUCCUCCCAGCCCAGUGGGUGACUUUCCAUUCCCAGAAUGUGCCAAGCCUGCUCCAUUCUCAAGUGGUGUUUGUAUCUGGAAGCUCUUCCCCACCACUCUUACACGUCUGCUGACUUUUUCUUCAGGAAUCGGCUUAAAUCUCACCCCUGCAUUGUCACCUGACCAACUCCUCUAGAGUAAUUCCCCAUUGCUCCCUACUUUACACCAUGUUCUUUUUCUUCUCAGUACUUACCACUAUUUGUGUUUACACAGUUAUAUCUGUGUAGCUUGUCUGUAGAAGGCUGUCAUCUAUUAGACUAAGGAGUCUACAAUGGCAGGGAUUAUGUUAGGUCUUUGGCUUACUACCUAAGUGUACAGUUUUUUGUUUUUGUUUUUGCAUAGGGCACAAGAGGCCUCCCACAAAUAUUUGUGAAGUAAAGGGGAGGCAGUGGAGGAAAAAGAAAUCACAUAAAGGACUCUUUGUGACACAGCAGAAACGUGUUAAGCACCUAUCACCUCAGGCCUAGCCUAUAAAAACUGAUUUGAAUCACAGAAUCCAGCAGCAUGCUUGUCAAAACCCAGAGACUUGCCCUUUUAAGUCUAAGACCAGAUACUCAAAUCAUCACUCUCUUAGCCCAGUGUUUUGGAAGUACCAGAUAUGAUGAAUGCAAUUACAUGAUCGUGCAAAUGAAGUAAAAUAAUACAACUGCCUCCUCCUUUAUACUUGCCAGUAAGAUAACUUUGUACUGAGAAAAUUAGUGAGACUCUAACAAAACUGUUACAAAUAAUAAGAAUUUAGCAGCAUGACAGGUUCAUCUGCAACAACUACGCAAGACUGCAAGGGAUGAUUAACCUGAGCAGAUUAACAGCAACUACAGUGAACUCCCAGCAGCACUUGGAAGGCCUGACUAGCACAGUGAGGUGAGCAGAUCCCUCUGUACACCUGUGCCAAAACUCAACUGAGACCAGUUCUGCAUCAAGGAAUGUCUGAAUCCAAUCAAAUGUAAGACACAUUCUAACAAGAUUUUCUCAAUGAAUCCUGACAAGCUGAUGGUGAGUGUUCAUUUGGUUGAGAACAGAUAAUAGGUGUGUUGUUUUCUUUUUUUUCUUUUUUGCGGUACGCAGGCCUCUCACUGUUGUGGCCUCUCCCGUUGCGGAGCACAGGCUCCGGACGCGCAGGCUCAGCGGCCAUGGCUCACGGGCCUAGCCGCUCCGCGGCAUGUGGGAUCUUCCCGGACUGGGGCACGAACCCGUGUCCCCUGCAUCGGCAGGCGGACUCUCAACCACUGCGCCACCAAGGAAGCCCAGUUGUUUUCUUUUUUUCAAAUAAUGAGAGGAACUACCAUUUAUCCAAGUUUGUAAAGUUACAGAAAGUAUCAAUAUGGUGUUUACUCAGACACUGACAGAGACCAAGGGAGCAUAAGAGGCCAAGAAGGCCUGCACAUGAUGAUGACUAUGGAAAUUAAGUCUAUGAUAAAGAUGGUGUUUCCAAUAAUCAGAAGAACCAAGUCAGAAAACGGUGUUGAAAAAACUUGUGCCCCACAUCAUAUACACGAGGAAACAGCUAAAAACCCCCCACAGAAAUACCAGAAUUGACAAAAGUAUUUGUACAACUUGUCUAUGUAUGACAUGAAACCUAGAAUAGGAGUAAAGACAGAUUUGAAAGAAAAAAUAUCUGAAAUCAUAAAACUUCUUUAUGGAGACUAGAUAAAGGUAAAAGAUAAAUGUUGGACUGGUAUUUGCAGUAUUAACAUCCAUAACAUAUAGUAUAUAGAGUCC
Molecule: long non-coding RNA, 4751 nt
Organism: Physeter macrocephalus (sperm whale)
Lineage: Eukaryota; Metazoa; Chordata; Mammalia; Artiodactyla; Physeteridae
Exons: 3
Source: RefSeq, a predicted model, not a curated record